CCAGACUCCUACGGGAGGCAGCAGUGGGGGAUAUUGCACAAUGGGGGAAACCCUGAUGCAGCGACGCCGCGUGAGUGAAGAAGUAAUUCGUUAUGUAAAGCUCUAUCAGCAGGGAAGAAAAUGACGGUACCUGAGUAAGAAGCCCCGGCUAACUACGUGCCAGCAGCCGCGGUAAUACGUAGGUGGCAAGCGUUAUCCGGAUUUAUUGGGUGUAAAGGGCGUGUAGGCGGGAAUGCAAGUCAGAUGUGAAAACUAUGGGCUCAACCCAUAGCCUGCAUUUGAAACUGUAUUUCUUGAGUACUGGAGAGGCAAUCGGAAUUCCGUGUGUAGCGGUGAAAUGCGUAGAUAUUAGGAGGAACACCAGUGGCGAAGGCGGCCUGCUGGACGAUGACUGACGUUGAGGCUCGAAAGCGUGGGGAGCAAACAGGAUUAGAUACCCGGGUACG
RNAcentral lists this ribosomal RNA (446 nucleotides) under uncultured bacterium. Its description in RNAcentral is "bacterial SSU rRNA". It matches the Rfam family "Bacterial small subunit ribosomal RNA", at positions 331 to 793 of the family's 1533-position model. The record is from RNAcentral.